AGUGAACGCUGGCGGUAGGCCUAACACAUGCAAGUCGAACGGCAGCACAGUAAGAGCUUGCUCUUACGGGUGGCGAGUGGCGGACGGGUGAGGAAUACAUCGGAAUCUACUUUUUCGUGGGGGAUAACGUAGGGAAACUUACGCUAAUACCGCAUACGACCUACGGGUGAAAGCAGGGGAUCUUCGGACCUUGCGUGAUUGAAUGAGCCGAUGUCGGAUUAGCUAGUUGGCGGGGUAAAGGCCCACCAAGGCGACGAUCCGUAGCUGGUCUGAGAGGAUGAUCAGCCACACUGGAACUGAGACACGGUCCAGACUCCUACGGGAGGCAGCAGUGGGGAAUAUUGGGCAAUGGGCGCAAGCCUGAUCCAGCCAUACCGCGUGGGUGAAGAAGGCCUUCGGGUUGUAAAGCCCUUUUGUUGGGAAAGAAAAGCAGCAGGUUAAUACCCCGCUGUUCUGACGGUACCCAAAGAAUAAGCACCGGCUAACUUCGUG
RNAcentral lists this ribosomal RNA (492 nucleotides) under uncultured bacterium. Its description in RNAcentral is "partial 16S ribosomal RNA". It matches the Rfam family "Bacterial small subunit ribosomal RNA", at positions 29 to 507 of the family's 1533-position model. The record is from RNAcentral.